AUUAAACGCUGGCGGCAUGCCUUACACAUGCAAGUCGAACGGCAGCACGGGGGCAACCCUGGUGGCGAGUGGCGGACGGGUGAGUAAAGCAUCGGAACGUAUCCUGGAGUGGGGGAUAACGUAGCGAAAGUUACGCUAAUACCGCAUAUUCUGUGAGCAGGAAAGCAGGGGAUCGCAAGACCUUUGCGCUCUGGGAGCGGCCGAUGUCGGAUUAGCUAGUUGGUGGGGUAAAGGCCUACCAAGGCGACGAUCCGUAGCGGGUCUGAGAGGAUGAUCCGCCACACUGGGACUGAGACACGGCCCAGACUCCUACGGGAGGCAGCAGUGGGGAAUUUUGGACAAUGGGCGCAAGCCUGAUCCAGCCAUGCCGCGUGAGUGAAGAAGGCCUUCGGA
RNAcentral lists this ribosomal RNA (393 nucleotides) under uncultured bacterium. Its description in RNAcentral is "bacterial SSU rRNA". It matches the Rfam family "Bacterial small subunit ribosomal RNA", at positions 29 to 422 of the family's 1533-position model. The record is from RNAcentral.